RNAcentral lists this ribosomal RNA (1481 nucleotides) under uncultured prokaryote. RNAcentral's name for it is "partial 16S ribosomal RNA". It matches the Rfam family "Bacterial small subunit ribosomal RNA". The record is from RNAcentral.
AGAGUUUGAUCCUGGCUCAGGAUGAACGCUAGCGGCAGGCUUAACACAUGCAAGUCGAGGGGGAACAGGACUUGGCCCUAGAGCGGCGCACGGGUGAGUAACGCGUAUGCAACCUACCUUUUACAGAGGAAUAGCCCAGAGAAAUUUGGAUUAAUACCUCAUAGUACUUUUAGAUCACAUGGUUUAAUAGUUAAAGCUUCGGCGGUAAAAGAUGGGCAUGCGUGACAUUAGAUUGUUGGCGGGGUAACGGCCCACCAAGUCUGCGAUGUCUAGGGGUUCUGAGAGGAUGAUCCCCCACACUGGUACUGAGACACGGACCAGACUCCUACGGGAGGCAGCAGUGAGGAAUAUUGGUCAAUGGGCGCAAGCCUGAACCAGCCAUCCCGCGUGAAGGAAGACUGCCCUAUGGGUUGUAAACUUCUUUUAUGUACCAAGAAUGUGAGCUACGUGUAGCUUUUUGACGGUAGUACAUGAAUAAGCAUCGGCUAACUCCGUGCCAGCAGCCGCGGUAAUACGGAGGAUGCGAGCGUUAUCCGGAUUCAUUGGGUUUAAAGGGUGUGUAGGCGGCUUAUUAAGUCAGUGGUGAAAUCCUGCGGCUCAACCGUAGAACUGCCAUUGAUACUGAUAAGCUUGAAUAUAGUUGAGGUAGGCGGAAUGAGUAGUGUAGCGGUGAAAUGCUUAGAUAUUACUCAGAACACCGAUUGCGAAGGCAGCUUACUAAACUAUUAUUGACGCUGAUGCACGAAAGCGUGGGGAGCGAACAGGAUUAGAUACCCUGGUAGUCCACGCCGUAAACGAUGUUCACUCGCUGUAUGCAAUACACCGUAUGCGGCCAAGCGAAAGUAUUAAGUGAACCACCUGGGGAGUACGUCGGCAACGGUGAAACUCAAAGGAAUUGACGGGGGCCCGCACAAGCGGAGGAACAUGUGGUUUAAUUCGAUGAUACGCGAGGAACCUUACCUGGGCUUAAAUGUAGAUUGCAUGACGUGGAAACACGCUUUCCCUUCGGGGCUAUUUACAAGGUGCUGCAUGGUUGUCGUCAGCUCGUGCCGUGAGGUGUCGGGUUAAGUCCCAUAACGAGCGCAACCCCUAUCGUUAGUUGCCAUCAGGUCAUGCUGGGGACUCUAGCGAGACUGCCACCGUAAGGUGAGAGGAAGGUGGGGAUGACGUCAAAUCAGCACGGCCCUUAUGUCCAGGGCUACACACGUGUUACAAUGGCAGGUACAAAGGGCAGCUACACCGCGAGGUGAUGCUAAUCUCUAAAGCCUGUCUCAGUUCGGAUCGGAGUCUGCAACUCGACUCCGUGAAGUUGGAUUCGCUAGUAAUCGGAUAUCAGCCAUGAUCCGGUGAAUACGUUCCCGGGCCUUGUACACACCGCCCGUCAAACCAUGGAAGCUGGGGGGACCUGAAGUCUGUCACCGAAAGGAGCGGCCUAGGGUAAAACCGGUAACUAGGGUUAAGUCGGAACAAGGUAGCCCUAA